UACGUAGGGUGCAGGCGUUAAUCGGAUUUACUGGGCGUAAAGGGCGCGCAGGCGGUCUUGAAAGUCAGGCGUGAAAGCCCCGGGCUUAACCUGGGAAUUGCGCUUGAUACUCUGAGACUGGAGUACGGGAGAGGAGAGUGGAAUUCCCAGUGUAGAGGUGAAAUUCGUAGAUAUUGGGAAGAACACCAGUGGCGAAGGCGGCUCUCUGGACCGUAACUGACGCUGAGGCGCGAAAGCGUGGGGAGCAAACAGG
This 253-nucleotide ribosomal RNA is filed under the name uncultured bacterium. RNAcentral describes it as "partial 16S ribosomal RNA". It matches the Rfam family "Bacterial small subunit ribosomal RNA", at positions 524 to 776 of the family's 1533-position model. The record is from RNAcentral.